GACGAACGCUGGCGGCGUGCUUAACACAUGCAAGUCGAACGGAAAGGCCCUGCUUUUGUGGGGUGCUCGAUUGGCGAACGGGUGAGUCACACGUGAGUAACCUUCCCUUGACUUUGGGAUAACUUCAGGAAACUGGGGCUAAUACCGGAUAGGAGCUCCUCCGUCAUGUUGGGGUUUGUACAUUUUCGGCUGUUGGGGUUGGACUCGCGGCUUAUCAGCUUGUUGGUGGGGUAGUGGCUUACCAAGGCUUUGACGGGUAGCCGGCCUGAGAGGGUGACCGGCCACAUUGGGACUGAGAUACGGCCCAGACUCCUACGGGAGGCAGCAGUGGGGAAUAUUGCACAAUGGGCGGAAGCCUGAUGCAGCAACGCCGCGUGCGGGAUGACGGCCUUCGGGUUGUAAACCGCUUUCGCCUGUGACGAAGCGUGAGUGACGGUAAUGGGUAAAGAAGCACCGGCUAACUACGUG
This 468-nucleotide ribosomal RNA is filed under the name uncultured bacterium. RNAcentral's name for it is "partial 16S ribosomal RNA". It matches the Rfam family "Bacterial small subunit ribosomal RNA", at positions 28 to 507 of the family's 1533-position model. The record is from RNAcentral.